RNAcentral lists this long non-coding RNA (271 nucleotides) under Nicotiana benthamiana. Its description in RNAcentral is "long non-coding RNA (NBEN_LNC014683)". Lineage: Eukaryota; Viridiplantae; Streptophyta; Magnoliopsida; Solanales; Solanaceae. The record is from RNAcentral.
CACAAUACACGCUGAUACAGAACGGAGGAGGCUAGAAAAUUAAAGAGUUGCGCAUCUUUGCUAUCUUCUUCACAAAAAACAUGCUACAAUACACAGCUAUAUACACGCCUAUACAGAACAAUUCACGACUGAUAUUAGGGGGGACACCAUCAUUUUUCUUCUUCUUAAAAAGAGAAGAACUCUUCAGCCAUGAGAGGAGUUUUAAGAUAGAGAAGAAGCAGCUAUAGAUCGACACCUUCAGUCAUAACACACAGAUCCUCUAAACCAAAAC